GGCGCACGGGUGCGUAACGCGUGGGAAUCUGCCCCUUGGUUCGGAAUAACAGUUGGAAACGACUGCUAAUACCGGAUGACGACGUAAGUCCAAAGAUUUAUCGCCGAGGGAUGAGCCCGCGUAGGAUUAGCUAGUUGGUGUGGUAAAGGCGCACCAAGGCGACGAUCCUUAGCUGGUCUGAGAGGAUGAUCAGCCACACUGGGACUGAGACACGGCCCAGACUCCUACGGGAGGCAGCAGUGGGGAAUAUUGGACAAUGGGCGAAAGCCUGAUCCAGCAAUGCCGCGUGAGUGAUGAAGGCCUUAGGGUUGUAAAGCUCUUUUACCCGGGAUGAUAAUGACAGUACCGGGAGAAUAAGCUCCGGCUAACUCCGUGCCAGCAGCCGCGGUAAU
Molecule: ribosomal RNA, 392 nt
Filed under: uncultured bacterium
Lineage: Bacteria
Description: bacterial SSU rRNA
Rfam family: Bacterial small subunit ribosomal RNA
Source: RNAcentral